UACAGAGGUCUCAAGCGUUAUCCGGAUUCACUGGGUUUAAAGGGUGCGUAGGAGGGCAGGUAAGUCAGUGGUGAAAUCCCCGAGCUUAACUUGGGAACUGCCGUUGAUACUAUCUGUCUUGAAUAUUGUGGAGGUAAGCGGAAUAUGUCAUGUAGCGGUGAAAUGCUUAGAUAUGACAUAGAACACCAAUUGCGAAGGCAGCUUGCUACACAACUAUUGACUCUGAUGCACGAAAGCGUGGGGAUCAAACAGG
RNAcentral lists this ribosomal RNA (253 nucleotides) under uncultured bacterium. Its description in RNAcentral is "partial 16S ribosomal RNA". It matches the Rfam family "Bacterial small subunit ribosomal RNA", at positions 524 to 776 of the family's 1533-position model. The record is from RNAcentral.